CAAGAGUUCCAAAUGGUGAAGUUGAAAUCAUCCCUUCGUAAUUUUACGGACGCCAUCACGAGUUGGUUGACCGUUAUGGAAUAACCGUUUCACAAAUGAUAUCGGAUAUGUUCCUUACGUCGUAACUACAAUCCCCUUCCCUUUCAUGAAUGUGACCUACCGAAUUAGACUAUUUACCGGAUUUGUAAUCACAUAAGCAACACGACGGGUGCCACAUAUGGAGCAGGAUCUGCU
RNAcentral lists this long non-coding RNA (234 nucleotides) under Mytilus galloprovincialis (Mediterranean mussel). Lineage: Eukaryota; Metazoa; Mollusca; Bivalvia; Mytilida; Mytilidae. The record is from RNAcentral.